GUGCGUUUCGGCGGUACAUGUACUAAAACUGAAACUAUACAAAGAUGAUUAGCAUUGUCACUGAACAAGGAUGACACGCAAAAUCUUUAAGAGUUCUAAAUUUUU
Small nuclear RNA from Schistocerca americana (American grasshopper), 105 nucleotides. The record is from RefSeq and is a predicted model, not a curated record. NCBI's taxonomy places the organism in Eukaryota, Metazoa, Arthropoda, Insecta, Orthoptera, Acrididae.